Molecule: long non-coding RNA, 1011 nt
Filed under: Capra hircus (goat)
Lineage: Eukaryota; Metazoa; Chordata; Mammalia; Artiodactyla; Bovidae
Description: lncRNA (ENSCHIG00000007727.1)
Source: RNAcentral
GGCCAGGUUACCGCGGCUCGGCCCCGAGUGGGCUGCGGCCGGGGGAGGGGCGAGAGAUACAUAUGUAUUUCUGUCUCCCUAGCACACCCCCUUCCCUCUAAGCGAUGGCUGAGAGGCGGUGCAUGCAGAUGGGGAGUAAGUUUCCUGAAGGGGAGGGUGGAUGCACGCGCGCGGCCCCGCGCUGCAAAUUUCCACCGGGGAGGGAGAGUGGCUGGAUGCGGAGAGUUUGGAGUUGCUUGCAGCGGAGGGCAGGAAGGGGAGCAGGGCCGGGAAAGGGGGCUGGCGGGCGCUAUAUCUGGGAGUAAGUUUCCAGGAACGGGAGAGCCUGCACGCUUGCUCGCUACUCUGCUCGCCCCUCAUCUCACCCCCCAGGCGAAGACUGGUCUUCUUGUCGGAUUGCCCAUGCACUUGUUGCAGAAACAGCCAAGGACAGUUUACUGGAAGUUAUGUCAUAAUGGAGGCUUCUCAGGUGGCUCAGUGGUAAAGAAUCCACCUGCAUAUGCAAGAGAAAAGGAGAUGCAGGUUCCAUCGCUGUGUCAGGAAGAUCCCCUGGAAGAGGACAUGGCAACCCACUCCAGUAUUCUUGUCUGGGAAAUCCCAUGGACAGAGGAGCUGGCGGGCUACAGUCCAUGGGGUCGCAGUGUCAAACACGACUGAGUGACUGAGCGUGCACACAGACACAUGUCAUAAUAGCUGAAAGCGAAGGUUAAUUUUUGUAUCCUUUAUUAUUUGACAUUAUGAGUAUUUUCCAUGUCUUUAAAAAAAUCUUCAUUAGGAAAUUUUUAAUAUCUGCACAGAACCCCUUCUUUUAUAAUCUGCUUGACCAUUCUAUUGUCAGAUACUUAGGUCAUUUCCCAUUAAGCUCUUAUAUAAGUAAUGGUGCAAUCUUUGUGCCGUAAUACUGUAUUACUAUUUUAAAAGUAUGGAAUGGGAAUGAUCAGAGUUGAAAGUAUUAUCAGUAUUGAUUGUUUUCAUGCAUAUGCCAGGUACGGAAAUAAAACUGUAGUCUUC